Molecule: ribosomal RNA, 694 nt
Filed under: soil bacterium Dicl-S1T-M1LLLSSL-1
Lineage: Bacteria
Description: bacterial SSU rRNA
Rfam family: Bacterial small subunit ribosomal RNA
Source: RNAcentral
UGGAGAGCGGCGGACGGGUGAGUAAUGCCUAGGAAUCUGCCUGGUAGUGGGGGAUAACGUUCGGAAACGGACGCUAAUACCGCAUACGUCCUACGGGAGAAAGCAGGGGACCUUCGGGCCUUGCGCUAUCAGAUGAGCCUAGGUCGGAUUAGCUAGUUGGUGAGGUAAUGGCUCACCAAGGCGACGAUCCGUAACUGGUCUGAGAGGAUGAUCAGUCACACUGGAACUGAGACACGGUCCAGACUCCUACGGGAGGCAGCAGUGGGGAAUAUUGGACAAUGGGCGAAAGCCUGAUCCAGCCAUGCCGCGUGUGUGAAGAAGGUCUUCGGAUUGUAAAGCACUUUAAGUUGGGAGGAAGGGUUGUAGAUUAAUACUCUGCAAUUUUGACGUUACCGACAGAAUAAGCACCGGCUAACUCUGUGCCAGCAGCCGCGGUAAUACAGAGGGUGCAAGCGUUAAUCGGAAUUACUGGGCGUAAAGCGCGCGUAGGUGGUUCGUUAAGUUGGAUGUGAAAGCCCCGGGCUCAACCUGGGAACUGCAUUCAAAACUGACGAGCUAGAGUAUGGUAGAGGGUGGGUGGAAUUUCCUGUGUAGCGGUGAAAUGCGUAGAUAUAGGAAGGAACACCAGUGGCGAAGGCGACCACCUGGACUGAUACUGACACUGAGGUGCGAAAGCGUGGGGAGCAAACAGGAU